AUAAAACCAUCGGGUCCGCCCGUUUUUUGUGUGAAUCUGAAUAACUAUCGCUGAUCGCACAGUCCUCGUACUGGCGAUGUAUCUUACGAAUGUCUGCCUUAUCAACUUACGAUGGUAGUAUACACGGCUACCAUGGUUGUGACGGGUAACGGAGAAUUAGGGUUCGACUCCGGAGAGGGAGCCUGAGAAACGGCUACCACAUCCAAGGAAGGCAGCAGGCA
RNAcentral lists this ribosomal RNA (221 nucleotides) under Enoploides sp. 2 JAL-2013. RNAcentral describes it as "partial 18S ribosomal RNA". It matches the Rfam family "Eukaryotic small subunit ribosomal RNA", at positions 218 to 433 of the family's 1831-position model. The record is from RNAcentral. Lineage: Eukaryota; Metazoa; Nematoda; Enoplea; Enoplida; Thoracostomopsidae.